This 150-nucleotide unclassified non-coding RNA is filed under the name uncultured Capnodiales. RNAcentral describes it as "sequence contains ITS1". The record is from RNAcentral. Lineage: Eukaryota; Fungi; Ascomycota; Dothideomycetes; Capnodiales.
CCGAGUGAGGGCCUCUGGCCCGACCUCCAACCCUUUGUUAUCAAAACCACUGUUGCCUCGGGGGCGACCCGGGCCCGUCGGCUCGGGGCCCCCGAUGGACAAUCUCAAAACACUGCAUCUUUGCGUCGGAUUACAAAGUUUAAUGAAUUA